RNAcentral lists this ribosomal RNA (207 nucleotides) under uncultured bacterium. RNAcentral describes it as "partial 16S ribosomal RNA". It matches the Rfam family "Bacterial small subunit ribosomal RNA", at positions 568 to 774 of the family's 1533-position model. The record is from RNAcentral.
UGCGUAGGUGGGCAGGUAGGUCAGCGGUGAAAUCCCCGAGCUUAACUUGGGAACUGCCAUUGAUACUAUCUGUCUUGAAUACCUUGGAGGUGAGCGGAAUAUGUCAUAUAGCGGUGAAAUGCUUAGAUAUGACAUAGAACACCAAUUGCGAAGGCAGCUCACUACACGGUCAUUGACACUGAGGCACGAAAGCGUGGGGAUCAAACA